Molecule: long non-coding RNA, 874 nt
Organism: Eleginops maclovinus (Patagonian blennie)
Lineage: Eukaryota; Metazoa; Chordata; Actinopteri; Perciformes; Eleginopidae
Exons: 3
Source: RefSeq, a predicted model, not a curated record
UCCUGGCAGCACAAGGGGAUCCACUCUUAAUCCCAAAGCUUCAAUUCUUCCUCGCCAUUGCGAGAAGUUUUAACCCAUUUCUCAAGAAGUACCAAACAGACGAGCCAGUGUUGCCUUUUUUGGCAGAAGAUUUAACUGAGCUCCUGUUGAGUUUACUGCGGCGGUUCAUCAAAAGGGAACUCCUACAGGACCAAACCCCCCUGCAGCUGAUUAAAUUGGACAUCUCUGAGGAGAAGAACUGGGUCUCCCUCAAAAGGGUAGAUAUAGGCUUGGGGGCUGAAUCUGCCAUCAAGGCACUCCUGGGCAAACCAGGAUCAAAGAUAGGUGAACUCUCUGUACUCCACCUCAGAAAAGAGUGUUUGCAGGGUCUGAUUAAGAUCGUAAAGAAACUGCAGGAGAAAUCGCCAUUGAAAUUCCCCAUAGUUAGGCAGAUCACCUGUUUGGAUCCCACAAGGAUGGCCAGGGAUCCAGAGUGGUGCAUCCUACAGAUGAAGUCAUUAGUGCAGGCUUUCAUCCAGGGGCAGCAGCUGGCAGGUGGCAUUGCAGCUGGUAAGAACAUAUUUUAUAGGGACAGUAGAAGUGGAUAAGUUAUUCAAAUUGAUUAAGGUCUUGUGCGUGGAAUCUCUUUUGUGGUUUUCUGCUUUUUUACUGUGACAGGUGUGAAAGUGUCUUGCUUUUACAAAAUUAAACUUUAUGCUCUCAUAGCUCUCUAUAUCAGGGGUUCUCAACCUUUUGCAAGUUGAGCCCCCCUUUCAAAGGUUAGAAUAUUGUCCCCCCCCACCAACCUUGAUGUCAAUGCAUGAUUUCAAGCACUCAAAUUAUUCUACUUUUCUUUUCUUUUUUGAUAGCCACAUCCAGUGUUCUUGUGAGUUAU